RNAcentral lists this ribosomal RNA (460 nucleotides) under uncultured bacterium. RNAcentral's name for it is "partial 16S ribosomal RNA". It matches the Rfam family "Bacterial small subunit ribosomal RNA", at positions 338 to 795 of the family's 1533-position model. The record is from RNAcentral.
CCUACGGGUGGCAGCAGUGAGGAAUAUUGGACAAUGGACGAGAGUCUGAACCAGCAAAGUAGCGUGAAGGAUGACUGCCCUAUGGGUUGUAAACUUCUUUUAUAAAGGAAUAAAACGAGGCACGUGUGCCUUUUUGUAUGUACUUUAUGUAUAAGGAUCGGCUAACUCCGUGCCAGCAGCCGCGGUAAUACGGAGGAUGCGAGCGUUAUCCGGAUUUAUUGGGUUUAAAGGGAGCGUAGAUGGGUUGUUAAGUCAGUUGUGAAAGUUUGCGGCUCAACCGUAAAAUUGCAAUUGAUACUGGCAGUCUUGAGUACAGUUGAGGUAGGCGGAAUUCGUGGGGUAGCGGUGAAAUGCUUAGAUAUCACGAAGAACCCCGAUUGCGAAGGCAGCUUACUAAACUGUGACUGACGUUGAUGCUCGAAAGUGUGGGUAUCAAACAGGAUUAGAUACCCGUGUAGUC